GACAGAGGAUGCAAGCGUUAUCCGGAAUGAUUGGGCGUAAAGCGUCUGUAGGUGGCUUUUUAAGUCUGCCGUCAAAUCCCAGGGCUUAACCCUGGACAGGCAGUGGAAACUACAUAGCUAGAGUAAGGUAGGGGUAGAGGGAAUUCCUGGUGUAGCGGUGAAAUGCGUAGAGAUCAGGAAGAACACCGGUGGCGAAGGCGGCUCGCUGGGCCGGACCUGACGCUGAGACGCGAAAGCUAGGGGAGCAAACGGG
This 253-nucleotide ribosomal RNA is filed under the name uncultured bacterium. Its description in RNAcentral is "partial 16S ribosomal RNA". It matches the Rfam family "Bacterial small subunit ribosomal RNA", at positions 524 to 776 of the family's 1533-position model. The record is from RNAcentral.